Oncorhynchus tshawytscha (Chinook salmon) is the source of this 2661-nucleotide long non-coding RNA. NCBI's taxonomy places the organism in Eukaryota, Metazoa, Chordata, Actinopteri, Salmoniformes, Salmonidae. The record is from Ensembl.
GUUGCAUUUACUCACAAAUUGCAAUGCCUUUCAUGUAUGUCGUUAGCUGUAUUACUUUGCUCGUGCGUCAUGCAAACGAAUUGUAAAAUAUACAAUACUGUAGUUUUGUUAAUGUUUCUAGUGUAAUAUGCUUUGUUAUUCUACAUAGAUGGUUGUACAUUAUUAGAGUAAUGAAAGGAGCCAAUUACCAUAUGGUUAACAAUUAGCUAUAUGGUUUGGCAUCAUGCCAGAUGCAUGGUACCUUAGCGCGUGCUUUGUAUUUAUGCAACUUCAAAUGUUUAAUGUACAGCUACAGUAUGUCGGUGUGAAUUGAAUACUAAAGUAUAUUAUUUUCUGUAUUUUGCAGUUUCACAACAUAAACGCUUUCAAUAUAUUCAUUCAAGAAAAGUCACGCCUUGGGAGUUUUAUUGAAGACUUAGUUGUUAGCUAUCUGUCUAGUUUUGCAUGGGAACGCAACUCAAGGGCAGAAUAACUACAUUUUACGGAGAUUUGUUUUUGGAACGCUUUGAUAUCUCCACCUCAUCUAGCUAUACUGAAGGAAAGAACGGUUAGUACAGCAUGCCAAACUGAGUGUUCCUGUGCUGCGGUGGAGAAGAGGUCCACUGGGACCAUCACUAAAGAGCUCGUGGCCCAGCUAGAUUGCGCUCACGACCAUCAGUAUACACCCAAGUCCUGCCCCUAUCGGCCACAGAUGGAGCUGAGUGAGAUGAGUGAAGACCAGGACUCACUGUAUGAACCUGAGUGCUCAGAAUCACAAUCAUCACAGUGCGAGCCAAGAGAUACUUUCGAAGAGUGUGUUUGCAAGAUCCGAAAUACAUAGUCUUUGAUAGCAAGCUGAAGGAGUUGUUCAAUGUCGAGCAGGUGUCAUCAGUUCAUCCCUGAAAAUAUAUAUUGCAGUUUUGAAACUGCAGUAAAAGUGGAAUAACUGCAGUCAUAUAGCUGUGAGGUGUGAGGAAACGGCUGGUGACCAUCGGGAAGCCAGAGGUACUGUCAUAUAUUUUAUAGUAAAAUCAGAACUAUAUAAUUAUGAUGAUUCAAGUCAGUGACCCAGGUGUCUAAUUUAUUCCCUGCGUCUCAGGUACUGCCAUGGGUGAGGGCAUUAACGCACCACCUGUGGUACUGUGCCUCCACUGCUGGUGGGAGCGUCCAGGUGCUAAAAGAAAAGUACUUAUUUAUCUCUAGUUACAUGAAUUAGAUCUUUCAUUUUGUAGGUGAUGAAGUGUGUUCAGACAGUUGAACUCAAGCGUGUACAUGCCCUAUACACUAAAUAUGUGCCCAAGAGGAACAAGUUCAGCCAGCAGGGGAUGGCCGCAAGACUCCAAGUGGCUGACUUGGACCACAAUUAUUCAGUGGACAGACAGAAGGCUACAAGAAAGGAGAGAGUGCUCAGUUUCAAGCAAAAGUUCAAAAUUGCUGCCAGGUUGUUUGUGGUGAAACCCAUCAAGGAGAAGACAUGGUGUUCCCUGUCUGAGAUUCUACAUGGCAUUGUUGACCAAUGUGCCAAUGGUAACUGCUCAACAUAUGAUGUCAGAUGUAGACAUAUAGAGAGAGAAAUGACCUAAAAUGAUUUGUGUAACUUAUACCUGGCUCUAGGACCAGCAGACUCUCCUGAGUGCCCAAAGAGAGAGUGGCGGUCACUUUGGGGGAGCGGGCUGGUGUUUCCGAAAAUGGAGAGAAGGAGGCCAUUCAACAGUGAACUCAAAGAUAGACCCAUCCAUAGAGGGAAUCGGAGUGGAAUUGUUUUUUCACAGAUAUUUUUUACCCGUUUCAACAGAUGUGCUACCUUGUCCUGGACCUGCUGUUUUGACUCGCUCUCUCGGACCUGCUGCCUCGACCUAUGAAUGCUCAGCUAUGAAAAGCCAACGGACAUUUGCUCCUGAGGUGUCGAAGUGUUGCACCCUCUAUAACCACUGUGGUUAAUAUUUUGAUGUAAAAAGGGCUUUGUAAAAAUAAUUUGAUUGUUUGCUGUGCUGCGUGCUGUGUAUUCACUAACUGUCUGCGUGCUGUGUAUUCACUAACUGUCUGCGUGAUGUGUAUUCACUAACUGUCUGCGUGCUGUGUAUUCACUGUCUGCGUGCUGUGUAUUCACUAACUGUCUGCGUGAUGUGCCAUUUUUAUAGUAUCUGUAACAUAUUUUGGUGUGUACUUAAUCUGCAACAACUUCUUAAAGUGGCAAUCAGCAGUAGAAACGAUAACAAAGUGUCCUCCCCGCCCCUGUUUCGGUAAACAGCUGAGGGAUGGGGCUGGAGAAAUGGAACCACUCUCACAUUCAUAGACAGAGCUAUGGAUGCAAGGACUGACCAUGUUGAGGUUAUAUUGUGUUUCUUUCUAUUUUCUUUGUUUACAAACAUUGGGUAUUUUGGGUUUCGAUCUUGUAGGAAAGUUGAACUAUGCUCAUGAGGCAUUUAUAAGUUAGAUUCAAGAAUCAAUGGUUAGAUAUCAUUCAUUUAUAAGUGCUGCUGAUUGCCCCUUUAAGGUAAGCUACAGUUGUAGUGUCUAUUGAUCUUGUGCUUGAGACAAUUACAAGACUUUCCUGUGAAUCCUCUUGUUUCAUUGGAACCUUAAUAACCCUGUAAUUGACUAUGUAUUGUUGUAAUCCUGUUUCUAUGAUCUGUUUCUACUACCAUGUACCCAGUUUGCUUUGGAUAAAGGCAUAUGCUA